GCCUCUGGGGCCCCUCAGCAUUUGUCCCUGUGUCCUACCCCCACCAGCUUCUCCAUAGGGAACAUGACCUAUCUAAGCUGUGCUAUUGUGACACAGUAAGAAGGAUGUACUUGGUCUUCCUUCUCCUGCACAGCUCUUAACACCUCUGUAAUGGCCUGAGUAAUGGGAGUCAUAGAAGCACCUCUUCCUAGGUUUUGUUCCCAGAUCCUAAAAAAGUUCUGGAAAGAUCCUGGUCCCAUCCUUACACACUAUAUCAAACCUCACUGCAUAUCGUCUCUCUCCUCUGAUGCUGUGAGCCCUGAGAAGGCAAGACUCUGUUGGGGCCUGAAACAGAACCAUCUGGCAAACUGUGGAAUUCACUCUUUUGUAUAUAUCAGCUGG
Molecule: long non-coding RNA, 381 nt
Organism: Lutra lutra (Eurasian river otter)
Lineage: Eukaryota; Metazoa; Chordata; Mammalia; Carnivora; Mustelidae
Exons: 3
Source: RefSeq, a predicted model, not a curated record